CAUGGCACCUGGCGAGAUGACAUUUUGCUGGAGGAAAGGGAGAUCUUCUAAGAGCAAAGAGCUUUCCAGGAGCUGGGACCAGGACUAUCACGACAGGAUUGCCCUAUGUCGUCCAUGCUGGUCUGGAACUCCUGGGCUCAAGAGAUCCUCUCACCUUGGCCUCCCGCUGGACGAGUAGGAGAAGGCCCCGGGGGAUAGUGAGGGCGGUGGACCGAAGCUUCCAGAAUGCAAGCACAACCUGCCCAGGAGUGGACAGAGGCAGCUCGGGAUGACAUUUAUCCAAGGGAGUGUAAAAUAGAGUCAGAGAAGCACUGGUAUGAGGAGUUUGGAGCCCUCAUUCCAUUCAUUCCCUGAGUUCUAGGAGCCUCCUCUGUUCCUCCAGAAGCCAAAAGACAGGGCAGGAAGACAAAAUCUUUCCGCAACUCCUCACCAUUCUCUGUUGUGCCCACAAUCUCCGGUUCCACCCUCACUGUAAAAUCACGUCUCCAUCCGCCUGCUUGAUCUUUCAGCCAGCCGCUCCUCA
This 523-nucleotide long non-coding RNA is filed under the name Homo sapiens (human). RNAcentral's name for it is "long non-coding RNA NONHSAT163522.1". The record is from RNAcentral. Lineage: Eukaryota; Metazoa; Chordata; Mammalia; Primates; Hominidae.